UACGGAGGAUCCAAGCGUUAUCCGGAAUCAUUGGGCGUAAAGGGUCCGUAGGCGGGACAGUAAGUCAGUGGUGAAAGCCUGCAGCUCAACGGUAGAACUGCGAUUGAAACUGUUGUGCUUGAGUCAUUAUGAAGUGGUUAGAAUAUGUAGUGUAGCGGUGAAAUGCAUAGAUAUUACAUAGAAUACCGAUUGCGAAGGCAGAUCACUAAUAAUUUACUGACGCUGAUGGACGAAAGCGUAGGUAGCGAACAGG
Molecule: unclassified non-coding RNA, 253 nt
Filed under: uncultured Flavobacteriaceae bacterium
Lineage: Bacteria; Pseudomonadati; Bacteroidota; Flavobacteriia; Flavobacteriales; Flavobacteriaceae
Description: contains 16S-23S intergenic spacer region
Rfam family: Bacterial small subunit ribosomal RNA
Source: RNAcentral